UCAGGAUGAACGCUGGCGGCGUGCCUAAUACAUGCAAGUCGAACGAGCGAGAUCCAGCUUGCUGGAUUAGCGAGUGGCGAACGGGUGAGUAAUACGUAAGCAACCUGCCUACACGGACUGGGAUAACACCUGGAAACGGGCGCUAAUACCGGAUAGGUAACGAGAGGGCAUCCUCUUGUUAUUAAAGGUUUGAAACACAAGUAGAUGGGCUUACGGUGCAUUAGCUAGUUGGUGAGGUAACGGCCCACCAAGGCGAUGAUGCAUAGCCGGCCUGAGAGGGUGAACGGCCACAUUGGGACUGAGACACGGCCCAGACUCCUACGGGAGGCAGCAGUAGGGAAUUUUCGGCAAUGGGCGCAAGCCUGACCGAGCAACGCCGCGUGAAGUGAUGAAGGUUUUCGGAUCGUAAAGCUCUGUUGUAAGGGAAGAAUGGCGCGGAUAGACUCCGCGAUUGACGGUACCUUACCAGAAAGCCACGGCUAACUACGUGCCAGCAGCCGC
This 501-nucleotide ribosomal RNA is filed under the name uncultured bacterium. Its description in RNAcentral is "bacterial SSU rRNA". It matches the Rfam family "Bacterial small subunit ribosomal RNA", at positions 24 to 518 of the family's 1533-position model. The record is from RNAcentral.